This 449-nucleotide ribosomal RNA is filed under the name uncultured bacterium. RNAcentral's name for it is "bacterial SSU rRNA". It matches the Rfam family "Bacterial small subunit ribosomal RNA", at positions 29 to 506 of the family's 1533-position model. The record is from RNAcentral.
ACGAACGCUGGCGGCGUGCCUAACACAUGCAAGUCGAACGAGGCAGCAAUGCCUAGUGGCGGACGGGUGAGUACAACAUAGGUAAUUUGCCCUUCAGUGGGGGAUACCCAGCCGAAAGGUUGGCUAAUACCGCAUACGACCCUCAGGUGGAAAUCCUGGGGAGGAAAGAUUUAUCGCUGAAGGAUAAGCCUGUGGCCGAUUAGCUUGUUGGUGGGGUAAUGGCCUACCAAGGCGACGAUCGGUAGCUGGUCUGAGAGGACGAUCAGCCACACUGGGACUGAGACACGGCCCAGACUCCUACGGGAGGCAGCAGUGGGGAAUUUUCCGCAAUGGGCGAAAGCCUGACGGAGCGACGCGGCGUGGAGGAUGAAGGCUUUCGGGUUGUAAACUCCUUUCGGCAGGGACGAAACAAUGACGGUACCUGCAAAAGAAGCAUCGGCUAACUACGU